UCUACCGAUCUAAUAAUAAGGUAUUUACAUGUACCCUACCAAUAUGGUAUUAUUUUAAAUUCAGCUUAAAUGAAAAACUUGUAAGUUCACAAAUUUUUGGAGUUCUUUUAAAAUUUGAAUUUUCAACUGUUAGCAUAUAACAAAUCCUUAUCCAAACCUGAUCCCAAUGCUGGAUGUUC
Molecule: long non-coding RNA, 179 nt
Organism: Octopus sinensis (East Asian common octopus)
Lineage: Eukaryota; Metazoa; Mollusca; Cephalopoda; Octopoda; Octopodidae
Exons: 3
Source: RefSeq, a predicted model, not a curated record